AUUGAACGCUGGCGGCAGGCCUAACACAUGCAAGUCGAACGAGUGGCGGACGGGUGAGUCAUGUCUGGGAAACUGCCCGAUGGAUGGGGAUAACUCCUGGAAACGGUAGCUAAUACCGCAUACCAUCGGAUGUGCCCAGAUGGGAUUAGCUAGUAGGUGGGGUAACGGCUCACCUAGUCGACGAUCCCUAGCUGGUCUGAGAGGAUGACCAGCCAGACUGGAACUGAGACACGGGCCAGACUCCGACGGGAGGCAGCAGUGGGGAAUAGUGCACAAUGGGCGCAAGCCUGAUGCAGCCAGGCCGCGUGUAUGAAGAAGGCCUGCGGGUUGUAAAGUACUUUCAGCGAGGAGGCGUUACUCGCAGAAGAAGCACCGGCUAACUCCGUGCCAGCAGCCGCGGUAAUAC
Molecule: ribosomal RNA, 406 nt
Filed under: uncultured bacterium
Lineage: Bacteria
Description: partial 16S ribosomal RNA
Rfam family: Bacterial small subunit ribosomal RNA
Source: RNAcentral